Molecule: ribosomal RNA, 383 nt
Filed under: uncultured bacterium
Lineage: Bacteria
Description: bacterial SSU rRNA
Rfam family: Bacterial small subunit ribosomal RNA
Source: RNAcentral
CUCCUACGGGAGGCAGCAGUGGGGAAUAUUGCACAAUGGGGGAAACCCUGAUGCAGCGACGCCGCGUGAAGGAAGAAGUAUCUCGGUAUGUAAACUUCUAUCAGCAGGGAAGAUAGUGACGGUACCUGACUAAGAAGCCCCGGCUAACUACGUGCCAGCAGCCGCGGUAAUACGUAGGGGGCAAGCGUUAUCCGGAUUUACUGGGUGUAAAGGGAGCGUAGACGGUAAAGCAAGUCUGAAGUGAAAGCCCGGGGCUCAACCCCGGGACUGCUUUGGAAACUGUUUAACUAGAGUGCUGGAGAGGUAAGCGGAAUUCCUAGUGUAGCGGUGAAAUGCGUAGAUAUUAGGAGGAACACCAGUGGCGAAGGCGGCUUACUGGACAG